Molecule: long non-coding RNA, 1201 nt
Filed under: Bos indicus x Bos taurus (hybrid cattle)
Lineage: Eukaryota; Metazoa; Chordata; Mammalia; Artiodactyla; Bovidae
Description: lncRNA (ENSBIXG00000024603.1)
Source: RNAcentral
ACUGGAGUGGGUUGCCAUUUCCUUCUCCAAUGCAUGAAAGUGAAAAGUGAAAGUGAAGUCGCUCAGUUGUGUCCGACUCUUCGCGACCCCAUGGACUGCAGCCCACCAGGCUCCUCCGUCCAUGGGAUUUUCCAGGCAAGAGUGCUGGAGUGGGGUGCCAUUGCUUUCUCCGGUAGAUAGUUCACUCAGCAUCAAUUCUCAGUAUCUCUCGGCCCCUCUGAGAUCUCCUGGAAUGCCAACGAGCGCCUCGUUGCUAAGAUUUCUCGGGCAGCAGGCAGGGGCACCCUUCCACUGUGGGGACUCUUUUCCCAGUGGAGCCCAAAUAAGGCGCAAGUCUGGAGAACUGGAGGCAGGGCACAGAAGCCGGGAGAGCCUGAGGGUCCCUGAAGAGAGUCGGGGACGAGGAGAGAGAGACUGGGUCAGUACCUGCCGCAGACGAAAGGAAAUCUGGAUAAUCGCUUCCUAUCGAGCGCCUGAUCUUAGCUCAGCGCUCUGCCGUGGCCUCUCCACUCAAGUGCUCCUCCUCUCGGCCUCUUCCUUGGAGACUACGAUGCUCACGCACCUCAUCUCCACGCGCUGUGUCUUCCCCUUCUCCAUUGCGCAUUCAGCAAUGGAGGUAGGUGGGCUCACCUCUGCUUACCGCCGCGGUGCGUCCUUGGCCCCUUGGCCACUACUGCCUCGGUGUUGUAAGCAUUCGCCUGUCUUCUCUAUGGAAUUAUAUAAAGAAAAAUGCAACAAAAAGAAAGAAAGAAAGAAUCCACAUUCGUGAUACCUGGACCUAAAGACCACAACUUUGUCACAUUCACUUCCAAUCUUUAAAAAAAAAAAACAAAACUUUUGGUUUUCCUUUUAACGAACCAAAAGCAGUAAUUCAUGAUGACCUGUCUGAUUGAUUUAUUAAUGCCGUGAAUGGAAAUCAAGUGCACAAAUAAGCCUAAAUCCUAAGUGAACAAUGGGGGCCCUGCCCAAUGGGCAGAACCAGGCCCGCUGGAGGUCUUGGGUGCCCGCCCGCCAUGGCCUUCGCAGGCAUGACCCAUGGCAGGGGGUGGGGGUCUUGGCAGAGGCAGAGACGUGAUUAAUCCCGCCGCGCCAUCCGGCGGGUGAGGACCCUCAGAAAAGCCCCGAGUGAGUCGCCAGUCCACAUGAGGUCUAGCUUGGAUCAGCUUUGGAAAAUAGAGCCCGGGCCGUAUCACCAGAGGAG